AUGUCUCCCUCCCAGUCCUCACUACUGCUGCUGCUGCUGAUGGUCUCCUGCUCCUGGGCCCCCCGCUCCUUAGGAGGAACCAUGACCUUCAUCUUCAUAGGGACCAACCCAGACGGAACCUACGGGGUGGACGUUUAUUACAAGACAGCCUUUACACGUUGUGGUACAUGGUUGUGUACCAGUGAGGACUGUGGGAAUGAGGUUAUGAUAGAGGGUCAGACAGUGGACCAGGAGAUGUCUGGGGACUGGUGUCAGACAGAAGGAGUCUUUAAUGUUGACUUAUCCAGUAACACAGUCGACUUUUCUCUGCGAUUGAAUAGAAGUUUAUGGAUAGACAAUGAUAAUUCUGUUGUUGUUUGGAGGCUGUGGCCCUAUGUGGAUCUUGGGGUCAGGUCUGACACGGGGACAGUCAACCGAUCUCCACAGACCACUGUCAUACCUCUAAUGCGUGUCCCUGCUAAUUGUCAAAGAGAUUUCAACCUGUUGCUGUUUGAUCCAGAUGGGGAUCAGGUCAGAUGCAGAUAUGCAGUACCAACGGAUGAGUGUUACACAUCAAGUGACCUUCCUAAUGACUUCACUCUACGAGAGAACUGCACCUUGUCAUUUUGGGGCAACAGUAAUACCACUGGAACAUAUGCAGUUCAGUUAAUGAUGGAGGAUUUCCCUACUCAGUCCAUCUCUCUCUCCUAUACUGACGGAUAUCAAUCUAACAGGACCUCAAACGAUACACUCUGCAAACUACCUGUUCAGUUUGUAGUGAGAGUGGACCCCCCGGUGACAUCCUGUAUGGAGGGGUUGGACCUACCCAUGUUCGUGUCUCCAACACCAGCCCAGGGUACACUGCUGAACGCCUCUGCAGACCAACCCCUGGAAAUCAUUGUCAGAGCACAGGCUACCAACUCCACGGUUUCAGAGCUGUUGGUGAGUGGACCUUCCGGUAUCACAGAUAACACCACUGAUCCAGGAAAGUACCUUCUGAGAUGGACGCCCACUGAGGAUGAGGAGGGAGGGUACUAUCCUGUGUGCUUCAUCGCUCAGGGAGUGAACAACAGUUCCAAGUAUCACUCUGAGCUGCGCUGUGUGAUCGUCAGGGUUGGAAACACAAGCGCCAUCAUAACCACAGAGCCAACAACUUCCCCUCCUCUGACAAUAAACCUCACGACCGCAGAGGAACCAACAACCUCCCCUCCUCUGACAAUAAACCUCACGACCGCAGAGGAACCAACAACCUCCCCUCCUCUGACAAUAAACCUCACGACCACAGAGGAACCAACAACCUCCCCUCCUCUGACAAUAAACCUCACGACCACAGAGGAACCAACAACCUCCCCUCCUCUGACAAUAAACCUCACGACCACAGAGGAACCAACAACCUCCCCUCCUCUGACAAUAAACCUCACGACCACACAGAUUGCACCGGAACUUCCAACCACGCCCACAAAUUUCAGUACAUACGCAACCACAGCAUCCCCAACUUUAAGUACAAACCCAACCACCGAUCUCACAACCCAUAUUGUGGACAGUACAACAAAGAGCAGUGGGCCUAGAUACGUUGUUGUACUGAGGAUAAAAGUGUCCUCUCUGAUCCCACUGACAGAUGAUUACAUCAGAAACGUGGUGUUUCAGCAGCUCCGUGUGGAACUGAUCAGACUAGGGCUGCCAGGGGACUUCAUGCUACGCCUGUUAGCCACUCAUGACAUCAGUCCCUGA
This is a long non-coding RNA of Salmo trutta (river trout), 1710 nucleotides long. Ensembl annotates it as mucin-5AC-like. Lineage: Eukaryota; Metazoa; Chordata; Actinopteri; Salmoniformes; Salmonidae. The record is from Ensembl.